RNAcentral lists this ribosomal RNA (374 nucleotides) under uncultured organism. RNAcentral's name for it is "partial 16S ribosomal RNA". It matches the Rfam family "Bacterial small subunit ribosomal RNA", at positions 527 to 896 of the family's 1533-position model. The record is from RNAcentral.
GGAGGGAGCUAGCGUUAUUCGGAAUUACUGGGCGUAAAGCGCACGUAGGCGGCUUUGUAAGCUAGAGGUGAAAGCCUGGAGCUCAACUCCAGAAUUGCCUUUAAGACUGCAUCGCUUGAAUCCAGGAGAGGUGAGUGGAAUUCCGAGUGUAGAGGUGAAAUUCGUAGAUAUUCGGAAGAACACCAGUGGCGAAGGCGGCUCACUGGACUGGUAUUGACGCUGAGGUGCGAAAGCGUGGGGGGAGCAAACAGGAUUAGAUACCCUGGUAGUCCACGCCCGUAAACGAUGAUAACUAGCUGUCGGGGGCUCUUAGAGCUUCGGUGGCGCAGCUAACGCAUUAAGUUAUCCGCCUGGGGAGUACGGCCGCAAGGUUA